RNAcentral lists this unclassified non-coding RNA (429 nucleotides) under soil metagenome. Its description in RNAcentral is "partial contains 5.8S ribosomal RNA, internal transcribed spacer 2, and large subunit ribosomal RNA". The stretch from base 1 to 120 matches the Rfam family "5.8S ribosomal RNA", at positions 35 to 154 of the family's 154-position model. The record is from RNAcentral.
GAUGAAGAACGUAGCGAAAUGCGAUACGUAAUGUGAAUUGCAGAAUUCAGUGAAUCAUCGAAUCUUUGAACGCAUAUUGCGCUCUUUGGUAUUCCGAAGAGCAUGCUUGUUUGAGUAUCAGUAAACACCUCAAAGACUUCAAUUUGUUUUGAAUGGCUUUGGACUUGAGCAAUCCCAACACCAGUCUUUACGAUCGGUGGAGGGUUGCUUGAAAUGCAGGUGCAGCUGGACAUUCUCCUGAGCUAAAAGCAUAUUUAUUUAGUCCCGUCAAACGGAUUAUUACUGUUGCUGCAGCUAACAUAAAGGGAGUUUGACCGUAUUGGCUGACUGAUGCAGGAUUUCACAAGGGUCGGCAACGAUUCUUGUAAAACUCGAUCUCAAAUCAAGUAAGACUACCCGCUGAACUUAAGCAUAUCAAUAAGCGGAGGA